Molecule: ribosomal RNA, 446 nt
Filed under: uncultured bacterium
Lineage: Bacteria
Description: partial 16S ribosomal RNA
Rfam family: Bacterial small subunit ribosomal RNA
Source: RNAcentral
CCUACGGGUGGCAGCAGUCGAGAAUCAUUCACAAUGGGGGAAACCCUGAUGGUGCGACGCCGCGUGGGGGAAUGAAGGUCUUCGGAUUGUAAACCCCUGUCAUGUGGGAGCAAAUUAAAAAGAUAGUACCACAAGAGGAAGAGACGGCUAACACUGUGCCAGCAGCGGCGGUAAUACAGAGGUCUCAAGCGUUGUUCGGAAUCACUGGGCGUAAAGCGUGCGGAGGAUGUUUGGUAAGUCGUGUGUGAAAGGCGGGGGCUCAACCCGCGGACGGCCGAUGAUACUGCGAGACUAGAGUAAUGGAGGGGGAAGCGGAAUGCGCGGUGUAGCAGUGAAAUGCGUAGAUAUCGAGAAGAACACUCGUGGCGAAGGCAGGUUCCUGGACAUUAACUGACGCUGAGGCACGAAGGCCAUGGGAGCGAAAGGGAUUAGAUACCCCGGUAGUC